GGAAAAGAAAAUAACAAUGAUUUCCCUAGUAACGGCGAGUGAAGAGGAAAGAGCUCAAAGUUGGAACCUGUUUGGCUUAGCUAAACCGGAUUGUAAACUGUAGAAACGUUUUCCUGGCACGCCAGAUAAAUAAGUCCUUUGGAACAGGGCAUCAUAGAGGGUGAGAAUCCCGUCUUUGGUCUGAGCUGUUGUCUUUUGUGAUACGUUUUCAAAGAGUCAGGUUGUUUGGGAAUGCAGCCUAAAUUGGGUGGUAAAUCUCACCUAAAGCUAAAUAUUUGCGAGAGACCGAUAGCGAACAAGUACCGUGAGGGAAAGAUGAAAAGAACUUUGAAAAGAGAGUUAAACAGUAUGUGAAAUUGUUAAAAGGGAACCGUUUGGAGCCAGACUGGCUUGAUCGUAAUCAAUCUAGGUUUCGACCUGGAUGCACUUGCGGUCUAUGCCUGCCAACGACAGUUCUUUCUGAAGGAUAAAACUAGGAGGAAUGUGGCCCCUCGGGGUGUUAUAGCCUCUUAGAUAAUACUUUGGAUGGGACUGAGGAACGCAGUGAAUGCUUAUGGCGAAAUUGCUAGGCGCUUUUGUUGAUAGAUGUUAGAAUUUCUACUUCGGGUAGUGCUGAUGUCUAAAGGUAAAACUCGUUUGGUUAAUUUUCUAUUCACUUAGGUUGUUGGCUUAAUGACUCUAAAU
Molecule: ribosomal RNA, 684 nt
Filed under: Mucor ellipsoideus
Lineage: Eukaryota; Fungi; Mucoromycota; Mucoromycetes; Mucorales; Mucoraceae
Description: eukaryotic LSU rRNA
Rfam family: Eukaryotic large subunit ribosomal RNA
Source: RNAcentral